Molecule: unclassified non-coding RNA, 562 nt
Filed under: Hevea brasiliensis (rubber tree)
Lineage: Eukaryota; Viridiplantae; Streptophyta; Magnoliopsida; Malpighiales; Euphorbiaceae
Source: RNAcentral
UUUAUCUAACCAAACUGAGGCGCUAUUUAACAAAAAAUACCAGUAGCGUUUUCGAGUAUAUUACAAUCUAAUCAAUCAAAAGCAUGGAAAAUCAAUAGGCUGAAAACUUUUUGUUUAACAAGUAUGCUUUGAAGUAUAGUUCCUCAGUUUUCCUCGUCUGUGGGGGCUCGUAUUCACUUCUUCGCAGUUGUGUUAUCUUUUGGUGAAUCUUCCUCUGAUGACUCUGGAAGAGCUGUCAGCUUACCAAAUGACUCCUUAGCGUCUCCGAAGAAAUCCUUCACCUUAUCAACAACUGUUUUAAGCUUAUCUGGUGUCGGAAGCUCAAUCACAUCUGAGGUCGAAAGGGCAGCUCUCAAAUUGUUAUUCUCGACAAGUUUGUAUCCAUAUCUAAAUUCUGUGGCAGACUUCAAUACACGAUGCUGUUUCAUUGCCAAUUUCUUUAUUUCCUUCUCGUCAUUGUAAAUCACUGCUGCGAGAUUCCUAGCUAGAGUAUCUUUGUAUAUAUAUUUCCCAAGAAAGUUGUCUUUUGCAGCAACCAUAAUUUUUGCAGUUGUGCCACCUG